ACGAACGCUGGCGGCGUGCUUAACACAUGCAAGUCGAACGGAAAGGCCCUGCUUUUGUGGGGUGCUCGAGUGGCGAACGGGUGAGUAACACGUGAGUAACCUGCCCUUGACUUUGGGAUAACUUCAGGAAACUGGGGCUAAUACCGGAUAGGAGCUCCUGCUGCAUGGUGGGGGUUGGAAAGUUUCGGCGGUUGGGGAUGGACUCGCGGCUUAUCAGCUUGUUGGUGGGGUAGUGGCUUACCAAGGCUUUGACGGGUAGCCGGCCUGAGAGGGUGACCGGCCACAUUGGGACUGAGAUACGGCCCAGACUCCUACGGGAGGCAGCAGUGGGGAAUAUUGCACAAGGGGCGGAAGCCUGAUGCAGCAACGCCGCGUGCGGGAUGACGGCCUUCGGGUGGUAAACCGCUUUCGCCUGUGACGAAGCGUGAGUGACGGUAAUGGGGAAAGAAGCACCGGCUAACUACGU
RNAcentral lists this ribosomal RNA (466 nucleotides) under uncultured bacterium. Its description in RNAcentral is "partial 16S ribosomal RNA". It matches the Rfam family "Bacterial small subunit ribosomal RNA", at positions 29 to 506 of the family's 1533-position model. The record is from RNAcentral.